RNAcentral lists this transfer RNA (74 nucleotides) under Camelus bactrianus (Bactrian camel). It matches the Rfam family "tRNA". Rfam says of the family: Transfer RNA (tRNA) molecules are approximately 80 nucleotides in length. Their secondary structure includes four short double-helical elements and three loops (D, anti-codon, and T loops). Lineage: Eukaryota; Metazoa; Chordata; Mammalia; Artiodactyla; Camelidae. The record is from Rfam by way of RNAcentral. RNAcentral also lists the same sequence under 2 other names.
GAGGGUAUAGCUCAAGCAGUAGAGCGCCUGCUUAGCAAGCACGAGGUCCCUGGGUGUAAUCCCUGGUACCUCCU